This 434-nucleotide ribosomal RNA is filed under the name uncultured Clostridium sp. Its description in RNAcentral is "partial 16S ribosomal RNA". It matches the Rfam family "Bacterial small subunit ribosomal RNA", at positions 341 to 792 of the family's 1533-position model. The record is from RNAcentral. Lineage: Bacteria; Bacillati; Bacillota; Clostridia; Eubacteriales; Clostridiaceae.
ACGGGAGGCAGCAGUGGGGAAUAUUGGACAAUGGGGGAAACCCUGAUCCAGCGACGCCGCGUGAGUGAAGAAGUAUUUCGGUAUGUAAAGCUCUAUCAGCAAGAAAGAAAAUGACGGUACUUGACUAAGAAGCCCCGGCUAACUACGUGCCAGCAGCCGCGGUAAUACGUAGGGGGCAAGCGUUAUCCGGAUUUACUGGGUGUAAAGGGAGCGUAGACGGCGAUGCAAGUCUGAAGUGAAAGCCCGGGGCUCAACCCCGGAACUGCUUUGGAAACUGUAUAGCUAGAGUGCAGGAGAGGUAUGUGGAAUUCCUAGUGUAGCGGUGAAAUGCGUAGAUAUUAGGAGGAACACCAGUGGCGAAGGCGACAUACUGGACCGUAACUGACGUUGAGGCUCGAAGGCGUGGGGAGCAAACAGGAUUAGAUACCCUGGUA